Molecule: ribosomal RNA, 562 nt
Filed under: Pseudomonas aeruginosa
Lineage: Bacteria; Pseudomonadati; Pseudomonadota; Gammaproteobacteria; Pseudomonadales; Pseudomonadaceae
Description: bacterial SSU rRNA
Rfam family: Bacterial small subunit ribosomal RNA
Source: RNAcentral
CGUCCGGAACGGGCGCUAAUACCGCAUACGUCCUGAGGGAGAAAGUGGGGGAUCUUCGGACCUCACGCUAUCAGAUGAGCCUAGGUCGGAUUAGCUAGUUGGUGGGGUAAAGGCCUACCAAGGCGACGAUCCGUAACUGGUCUGAGAGGAUGAUCAGUCACACUGGAACUGAGACACGGUCCAGACUCCUACGGGAGGCAGCAGUGGGGAAUAUUGGACAAUGGGCGAAAGCCUGAUCCAGCCAUGCCGCGUGUGUGAAGAAGGUCUUCGGAUUGUAAAGCACUUUAAGUUGGGAGGAAGGGCAGUAAGUUAAUACCUUGCUGUUUUGACGUUACCAACAGAAUAAGCACCGGCUAACUUCGUGCCAGCAGCCGCGGUAAUACGAAGGGUGCAAGCGUUAAUCGGAAUUACUGGGCGUAAAGCGCGCGUAGGUGGUUCAGCAAGUUGGAUGUGAAAUCCCCGGGCUCAACCUGGGAACUGCAUCCAAAACUACUGAGCUAGAGUACGGUAGAGGGUGGUGGAAUUUCCUGUGUAGCGGUGAAAUGCGUAGAUAUAGGAAGGA